AGCUCAACUUUGUUGGUCAUUGUGGACAAUCUGAGUAUUUACCUUUCUCUGAUGUUGUUUUCCUAUUCUAUCUGUGUUUUUCAUGGUCCUGAUUUACGUUUCUAUUUUACCUUAUUCUAGCUUUCUUACAAGUUAUCCUAAAGACUAGGUGGGAGUUAGAGUAUAUAAACAUCAGAGAGCUGCAGAAAAUGAGCCAAGGACACACAUUCCAUUACCAGGAUUCCUAGAGGAGAAGAGAAAGGAAAUAUCCAGGAAACCUAUCUGCAGUUCUCAGCAUCUACUACCUUACAACAGCCACUCCUGAUACACACCUGUGAAGCUUUCCUAAGGCAACUGCCUUGUUAACACCAGAUCCCUGGGCUGGGCAGACACCAGGCUACCAAAUAUCUCCGCAGAGCUGGUUCUGUCUGAAGGUGCUGAUCAGCUGUGGGAAUCCCGGCAUGGAUGCUGCCUCAGAGACCUCUGUGCACAAGGAAGAAGUGGGUGGCUGGAAGGAGGCAGGGAAAAAAGCAGACAAAAUUGGAGAUCAAAGUGUAAAGUCUUGGAUUUACUACCUUAUAUCAAUACCACACUGCCGCCAUUACCAGUACCUGAUAGGACCCCUAUACCUCUAAGGGCUUCAACUGUGUUGUUCUUCAGUAUUGCCGUGAGUGUCCUUGGUCGUCUGCAUUUUCCCGCCUAUUUUAAAAUCAGUGUGUCAAGCUUAACAUCAGUAACAGCAAAGCCUUCCAGGAUUCUGACUAG
This 744-nucleotide long non-coding RNA is filed under the name Heterocephalus glaber (naked mole-rat). RNAcentral describes it as "lncRNA (ENSHGLG00100039836.1)". Lineage: Eukaryota; Metazoa; Chordata; Mammalia; Rodentia; Bathyergidae. The record is from RNAcentral.